RNAcentral lists this ribosomal RNA (725 nucleotides) under Alphaproteobacteria bacterium SJ-5G. RNAcentral describes it as "bacterial SSU rRNA". It matches the Rfam family "Bacterial small subunit ribosomal RNA", at positions 109 to 872 of the family's 1533-position model. Lineage: Bacteria; Pseudomonadati; Pseudomonadota; Alphaproteobacteria. The record is from RNAcentral.
AGUAACGCGUGGGAAUCUACCCUUUCCUACGGAAUAACACAGAGAAAUUUGUGCUAAUACCGUAUACGCCCUUCGGGGGAAAGAUUUAUCGGGGAAGGAUGAGCCCGCGUCGGAUUAGCUAGUUGGUGGGGUAAUGGCCCACCAAGGCGACGAUCCGUAGCUGGUCUGAGAGGAUGACCAGCCACAUUGGGACUGAGACACGGCCCAAACUCCUACGGGAGGCAGCAGUGGGGAAUAUUGGACAAUGGGCGCAAGCCUGAUCCAGCCAUGCCGCGUGAGUGAUGAAGGCCUUAGGGUUGUAAAGCUCUUUCACCCACGACGAUAAUGACGGUAGUGGGAGAAGAAGCCCCGGCUAACUUCGUGCCAGCAGCCGCGGUAAUACGAAGGGGGCUAGCGUUGUUCGGAUUUACUGGGCGUAAAGCGUACGUAGGCGGACCGUUAAGUCGGAGGUGAAAUCCUGGGGCUCAACCCCAGAACUGCCUUCGAUACUGGCGGUCUCGAGUCCGGGAGAGGUGAGUGGAACUGCCAGUGUAGAGGUGAAAUUCGUAGAUAUUGGCAAGAACACCAGUGGCGAAGGCGGCUCACUGGCCCGGUACUGACGCUGAGGUACGAAAGCGUGGGGAGCAAACAGGAUUAGAUACCCUGGUAGUCCACGCCGUAAACGAUGGAAGCCAGCCGUCGGGCAGCAUGCUGUUCGGUGGCGCAGCUAACGCUUGAGCUCCCGC